GUGUCUAUCUUUUUUUAUCACAUAUCUUUUUUUAUGAAUAUAGAAGGAAAAUGCAUUUUCUUUUCGACGGGACUUGAACUGGGCAUCUAGGGCUCAUUUUGGUGCGUGUGUGUGUAUCUAGGGCAUCUAGGGGUCAUUUAUGAAUGGCGAGGCCGCCUAAUUAAUGUUCACCAUUAAAAUUUAGAAUAGGUUUGUGAUUUUUUUUAACACUGUACAAACGCAUACGCUCAUACUUACGCACAUACACUCAUCCGUCUGAACACACACAUACACACCCUAUCCCUUAUGAGCACCUUCUGGACUGAGCCGACACGUCAUCUUGAGAUAAAAAAUGUCACCACAUGUGUCUCUGUAAUCGACAGGAACGUCUCAUUCUACUGAACGAACAUCGCCAGAAAGCUUCAAAUAAAUCUAGGAAAAUGACAUGAUCAGUGUCAAGUCUAAAACUUGAACCUUAUAGAGUGGUUCUACCACAAAGAACCUAAGCAUCUGAGAUUAGCUGAGUUCGCAUUUUUCGUGUCUCAUUUACUCUAUCUUGGGUGAGUUUCUUUUCUUACAGACCGAAUAAAAAAGCAUUCAUGCAUCGACUCUUUUUUAAUCUAAACAUAAGGCUUGGAUUAGCGUUUAUUUGACAUGUCUUUUUGGUUUCAUUGUUCUCAAGGCAACAUGCAUGUGGGUGAAAAUCAUUCCGCCGUAGUAUUUUUUUUCUAAACGUGAUACUUUCAAGAGCAUUUAUUUGUACGUCACUUUAAUAUUUUUUUAAGGGAACACGUACCUACCUUUUUUAUUUCCGUUGUAUUUGGGACAUGGACACUUUUCCUAGCAUGAGGCCUAAGGGCUUUUCAUUUGUUCCUAUCGUUUUGUAUAGUACAUCUUUUUAUGAAAGGAGAAGGUAAAUUGAUUUUUUAUUGACCGGGAGAAGAACGUGGACAUGCAGGACUCUUUUGAAGGCAUGUGGGCUCGUUUCUACUCUAUCUACGUGUGGUAGAGUCAAUUACACCACAGGUGUCUGAACUUGGCAAGAAAAAUCAGUUUGGUGCUGAAACUUGUGGCAUACAGAUAUGUGGUAACAAAACUUGGCUUCGUAGUGCAGAUACGGUGAAAUUCACGUUUGGAUACGAGAUGGGUGCUGACGAGGCCCGCCAGCGUGGCGCCGGACCCACUGUCAGUGGCUGCACAGUGCGGGCGAGGGCGUGUGGCCCGGGUUUUCGCGAAACCCCCCCGGAAUUUGUUUACUUCUCACAAAAAAGCCCCGGCCGUCGCACAUAAUGCGAGCCCCUCGAUCCCGUAAAUCCUCGCCCGCGAUGCAUCAAAAAAAAAUCCUCGCCCGCGAUCCCCAAUUCAAGAACAGGGCGACGGCUUAGUUCCGCACGACGGCGACGGCGGCACUCCCCUCGGUUCAGCAUGACGGCGGCGGCGCCGGUGUUCCCCUCGGCUGCGCGCGAAGGCGGCGGCGGCGCUCCCCUCGGCUGCGCGCGAAGGCGGCGGCGUCGCUCCCCUCGACUGUGCGCGAAGGCGGAGGCGGCGCUCCCCUCGGCUGCGCACGACGGCGGCGGCGGCGCUCCCCUCGGCUGCGCAUGACGGCGGCGGCGGCAGCUCUGGCAGAAGGGAUCCCUGACUUCUGGUUAUCGCACGCAUUCCUUCUCUCUCACCUCUCUCUCACAUCUCUCGUAGUAUUACUCUCACAUCUCGCGCGCCUUCUGUUCCCCUGUUUCUAGAUGGGAGGGUCCGACAUACCUAGGAUGGUGGAUGGAGGGGCGAAGGUGGAGGAGGAGGACGAACCGUGGGCCAAAAUUACCUCCGUUGUGUACUUCAGAAAGCAUCAGGUAAAUCAUCUUCCCUUUUCUCAGAAAAAAUUGUAGGAUGUUAGGUUCAAUUGGAGUUGAACUCAGGAAGAUGAGCUGGACAAGGGUAAGAUGUGCAGGCACUUUGAGUCAGCAGCUAUGCGGGUAUGCAAAGGAGUGGACACUGGAAGGAGAUUUUUGUCAUGCCAAUAUGAGGUAAAUUGCUUGCUACCAUUAGGCCUCUUUACUUUACAAUCGGCGUUUUGUCAUCGGUUGGUAAUGUUAGUAUGUAUGUAAUAGUCUGCAAUUUUGCCUGAACAGGAGACGUGUGGUUAUGUCAAAUGGAUUGACAAGCCAAGCCAUGGGAGGGGAGGUAAAGAACUGUCAUUGGUGAAGUUGCUAACAACAAAGAGGUGCUAGAGAAGAAGCUAAUGCAGAAAGAUGGUCAGAUAGAAACUGAGGAGAAGCACGGACUUGAGAAGAAGAAGAUUGAAAGGAUGCACAAAGAUCAGUUACAAUCUAGAGAUAGGACGAUUAUGUUUGUUGUGUUCAUGUACUUUGGGUUAGUCGUAAUCAUGUUUGAUGUGGUUGACAAGAAGUAAUGUUGUCAUUGUCCAGUCUAGAAGGUCAUGUAUGUUGCUGAAAAUUUGUAUUUUGCUGAAUAAUCUUUGGUGAAUUACAAAGAAUGUACCUUUUGGUAAAGAUUUUUUUUGUCAAUAUUUUACUGCUUUAGAAUUGAAACAGACUAUGCAUGUUUAGACAGCAACAAUUGAUUGGAUGGAGAACAAAUUGAAACUUCAUUUUUCAGAUAGAUAACAACAACCAUUUGAUCAUACAGUGUCCACUUUAGUAGCUGAGAGCACACAUUAGUGAAGCACACACAUUCAGUAGCUAAGAACAUGCAUGCAUAUUGACGGAAAUGCAAACCACAUACACACAAACUGUAGACUGAUAACUAAACUGCAUACACGCGAACUGAAGAAAUCUGCAAACUGAUGGACGAAGCCGAUGCUUUUCUUAAAUUUAGAGAAAAGCAUGACAGGAAUAAGAGCAGUUUUUGCCAGCAUAAAUUCAAAGAAAAGCAUUACAGGAAUAAGAGCAGUUUUUGCCGGCAUAAAUUCAGAGAAAAGCAUAUGACAGGAAUGGGUAAUUUUUGCCAGCAUAAAAUUCAGAGAAAAAACGACAGGAAUAAGAGCAGUUUUUGCUGGCAUAAAUUCAUAGAAAAGCAUGACAGGAAUGAGGGUAAUAUUUGCGAGCAUAAAUUCAUAGAAAAGCAUGAGAUGGAACAACAUGAAAACUGCAUUUUAUGAGCAUAGCAACCUCGGAUCAGUGCAUACAGGUGCACUUAAAUAGCAGCAUAACACAUGUUCAGAUUCUCACAUUACAGCAUAAACAAAUGGGAAAUUAGUCUUAUGACUUGUCUGAUGAACAAACGUUCAUAUAUGAACUUGCACUUCCAUCUAGUUCAGUUCACUCAUGAACUAAUUCGGUUGGCAUUGGGAUCUACAAGGUUUGGAAAUCAUCAAUCCACUUUUCAUUUGGUGUAUUUUGGGUCACUGGCUCCUCUUCAGCUUGCACAUAGGAACUCUCUGAAUUUGGUCCAAACAUAAGGUUCCAGAACCCAGCACCUGGUCCAGUAUAUGCUUCCUCAGCACCUGGUCCAGUAUAUGCUUCCCCUGCUCCUCUUCCAGCUGCUUGGUUGCUUGUCUGCUGUACAGAUCCUCUACCUCUCCUGCCAGCCGCUCCCCUAGCUCCCCUGCCUCCCCUGCUAGAUGCUCCACUAGCUCCAAAACCUCUUCCUCCCCUACCAGUUGCUUCUCUAGAUCCUCUGCCUCCCCUGCCAGCUGCUGCUCCACCAGCUCCAGUGGAUCUUCUCUUUCUUCCUCUUGAAAUUCCAGCUUGGUUGCUUGACUGUGGUACAUCUUCUGGAAUGUCUUCAGUGACUCCUCUUCUUCUAACCCUACCUCUUGACAUAGCAGUCGUAACCCUAGGAGGGGGUAUGUCAUUUCUUGCUUGUGCAACAAAUGUUGAUUCUGGAAGAGGUCCAUGAUCCAUACUUGGUUGGUACGCUCUCCUCUCCUAAGUGGAGAAAAAUGCACAAGAUUCAGACAUAAAUUCAGAAACAGAGAAAAUUCAGUAACCGAAACAAAUAUCAAGACAAGGUUACCAUUUGCUGCAUGAGGAAACCAUGGACCCUGGGGUUUGACUUGGAUCCAUGUGUGGAUGGACUGUGUGUGGCAGUAUGUUCUAACAAAGCAUAAACAACAUGUUAGUGUAUGUUGGCACAUGUAAAAUAUAUCAGUACAUUGUGUGAUUAUGUUUAAUCUUACAGAAAUGAUUAUAGGAUCAUCAUACUCUUCUUCUUCAUCAUCUGCAACAUUUGCAGGUUGAGGAGCAUCUCUUGUGGUCUCCUCCCACUUCUUGUGUCCUUUCUUGUUGUGGUCUGCACUUCCACAAAGGGAGCAGUGCAUGGUUACACCAUGCUUUGUCAACUUUUUCCCUCCUUCUUUCAUCAACUUCUCCUCUGGAUCUUUCUUUCUAUUCCUCCUUGGUCUCCCCAUUACCUUAGUGUACACUGGUGGAUAUACAGCAAUGCCAUGCAUCUUAGUCCAAUGUUCCUGGUCCCUCACUGGUUUUACAUUAAAAGCAUAAGCCCUUUUGUAUGUCCCUACUGAAUAACAAUCAUGCACUAGGCUUGCAGGGUCAAUUCUCUCAUUUCUAGCACAAGCAAUAGCAUGGUGACAUGGAAUGCCAGACAAGUCCCAUCUCUUGCAGUUACAGGUUUCCAUUUCCAAGUCCACUAUGUAGGAGUGGUUCAUUGACACAACCUUGAAAACCUUCUGACCAGCUCCAAAGACCAUGCAGUUUGCAGCCCAAUCAGUGUACUUGUCCAAUUUUUUCUGAAUUUUUGGGCACAAUCUCAUACUCCAUUUCCUAUCUUCUGCAACUUCCAUCUGCUUGCUGUAUAUCCUUGCUGUGAUCUUGCUGUUUAUGUUUUCAACCAUCGAGUAAAUAGGAAGUUCUCUGGCUGGCAAAAUCCAACUGUCAUUUGAAAUGUUAAGACAUGUUAGUUCAGAAAACCACAACCCACAAAUGCUUAAUUUCAAGUGCAAUACAUGCUUACCUGUUAAAUACUUCAGACAUGUUAUUUAGCAGGAUGUCACACUUUGGAAAAGGAUUAAAAAAAGCUUUAAUCCAUGUUCUUGGUGGCCAUUUCUCAACCCAUUCGUAUGCAGGCACACUGUCUGCCUUCAUCUUCUCCAUUGCUUUGUUGUAUGUUGGAGUGUCUGUAGCCCUUGCAAUGGCCCACAUAUUGUUCUUUAGUUGUUCCCCCUUGUGAAGCUUGUGGAAAUUUUGAUACAUAUGCCUGACACAAAACUUGUGUUCAGCGUCUGGCCACACCUUUGCAGCUGCAGCUAUAAGACCCUGCACACAUAAACAAUGCAAGCACCCAUCACAUCAAAACUACAUUAUACUAUAGCAAGCAAUAAGGUGAAAACCAUAAGAUGACAUACCUUCUGCUUAUCACUCAUGAUUGUGUAUGGAGAGGUGUUGCAUAUAUUGAGAUCAUCCUUUAGGCUAGCCAAAAACCACUCCCAGCUGCUAGUGGACUCCACUUCCACAAUCCCAAAUGCUAUGGGGAAAAUACAAUCAUUGGGGUCAAUAGCCACAGCUGUUAGUAAAUUCCCUUUGUACCUGGUCUUAAUGUGACAUCCAUCUACAAAUAUUAUUGGCCUACACCCCAUCAACCAGCCUCUCUUGCAUGCAUCCAAUGACCAGUACAAAGUUGAAAAAUGUUCCUUUGUCUCCUUGGUCUUUUCAUCAAAAAUCUCCUUUGUGCAAAGGUAGAACUUGCUGCCAGGGUUUGUUUGCCUCAACUCCUCUCCAUAAUCCCAUAACAUCUUAUACUGGUCAUCAUCCUCACCUCUGAUCUGCUUUACUGAUGCUCUUCUAGCCCUUCCCAAUUUGCUCCUACUUGGAAUUAGAUUGUACUCCUGCUGAACCUUCUCCUCGAAUUUCUGCAAUGGCAUCUUUUCAUUGCCCCUGAACUCUUUUGAAGGCAUGUGGGCUCGUUUCUACUCUAUCUACGUGUGGUAUUUUUCUAUUCAAACGUAUGGCAGGGCCGGCCUAGUUGAUCUUGACCUUUAAUAUAUAAAUACCGUGUCCAAAUUAAUUAUGUUGAUGUGGAAGAGUCCAUCUCACGUAAGCCACCCAGCUGGAAAAAGCGCACGAAUCAUUCACCGGCUGUAGACCGGUCAUUAAGCCAAUCUGAUGGAUGUAACUUUCUAACCUUCAGGAUUAACGUGGAGCCUCGUAUGGUGCUUUCAAUUAGUACAUACUAGUCAUCAACCCGUGCACCUGCACGGGCUAGCAAUUUUAAUAUUAGAUAUACCAUAGUUUUGACAGUAUUAAAAAUAUCAAUAAUCAUUUGAAUAUUUUGAUAUACGUUAUUAUUAUUACACAUGCACAUUGGAUCCAAUGAAGUUACAUUGCUUUGACUAUUUUGUGAUUACAUAGUUUAAGCAUAAUUGUGUGACAACGGUAUAUAUAAUAUCGUUGUGUGAUCGCAAAUCACAUGAAAUUUGUAGAAGAUAUGUGGAAAUAUGGAAAUGCUACUUUAUGAGCACAUCAAAACAUAGCAACAAAACAUAGCAAUGCUAUAGGCCUAGACUCAUUCCAGCCUCCUCGAUAAAACUAAGCUGCCAUCCAGAGGCUAUGGAUUCAUGUACAUAGGUAGCAAGAACAUACUGCAGAGCAUCAAAUUAACCAAGUGGCAAGUAAUGAUUUACAAAUCAAGAAUCUUACCCUAAACACAGCUACCACCGCCAUUCAAACAAGAGUGGUGAGGGAAGCAUGAAGAACGGCGGGGAAGCGAGGUGGCGACCACUGUCCUCCUCCUCUUGCGCUUCGGAGUCUCCGGUGACUCGGUUGGAGGCUGCACAAUCUGCAACGGCACCUCGUGCAGGGUGGCUUCCUGAUGCAGUGGAUGCUCUACCCUGGAUCUGAACGCCCACCACCUCCGCCUAACCCACUCAUGGGCGAAUCCUUCUACUCCAUCGCCCAGAGGAGGAUCUCGAUCUUGUGCAUCGGUUCAGUGGGUGGGGGGAGCUUUUUCCUCUCCUUCUUCGUCAUUUCCUUGAGAGUGGACAUCUGCCUUGUGUUGUCAAACCAAGAAUGGAUCUCCCUCAACCUGGCCAUCUUGACGUGGUUGCCGCCGGCGAUCUUCUCGAUCUGCUGCCGCAUCGAGGUUCUUGCUUGGAUGGAAGAGGGGGUGGAUGUGGAAGAGGAGAAGAGAAAAGUUGCGGCGGCGAGGAGGAGGAGAUGGCUGUGGUGGAUUUGGAAUGUACGAGAGGCAGGAGAUGGCUGCGAUUGUGUAAUGGUGAUGGAAGAGGAGAGGACCAUGGCGGCGGUUUUGCAUUGGACGAGAGGGGCGGCGUGUGAAAUUUUUUCUUAUGACUAAAAUGCCCCUAUAUUAAAAUGUGUCCCCAUAUUGUCAUUACUACCGGCCACACAAGUUGUAGUACUUUCGAAUACUUUCAUCCCAGUACUACCGAGUACUACAUAUGUGUGUGCCGUUAGAUUGAGACAAACUAACGGCUCCAAAAAAGCCCAACCACUGUAAAACUUAUAGUUCCAAAUUGUCCAUUUGAUAACUGCUUUCUUGCCAUGGAAGUAAACUAUUCAUGUUUCUCCAUCUUGUUAAGUAUUCGCAAAGAUGUUGAUUACUCUCAGACGGGAGGAGUAGAUUUGAGCUGCAGUCUACAAGUCCAAGUUAUAUUUUUUAGGAUCAAGGUCGAAGUUACGAGGCUCAAAACUAAGAGAUGUUCUGAUAGACAUCAGUUUCAGUGGAAAACAAUUGCUGGGAAGUUUCAAUGGAAAUUGGGGCCGAUGAACUCAAUGGAUGCAGCAGGUACACUUUUUUUAACAGACAUCACAUAUUGGUUCCUUGGAAAAGAGUCUACAUGGGACCGAUUGCUCUCAUCCCUCGAUUGGGUCCGCGUCUUUCUCACCUCUAGGAAGAUUCUCUGGAGAGCGAUCGCGUACCCACCAAACCUAGUAAAACGUGUCGGUCCACCUCGCUUUUUGGGCACAGUUGUGACCGCUGUGACAUGGGCCUUCUCCUUUUAGUCGGUGGCAGAAUCCUCUGCCGACAUAGAGGUGAGAGUGACGAUGGAGCAUUUGGCAAUAUCCUUGGGAAAACAGCAGCAUGCCCACUCGACUAAGUAUGAUGGGUCGCUCCACCUCACCUUCUCGAUGUGGUUAUGGCAGCCACGACAGUGGCCUACUCCUCAAGAUCAGUGUCAAGGCUCAGCGGCGGGGUGGCGGGGGUACAGAGGAGCCUACCUUCUCGGAUUGUUGUGGUGGCUUCCAUGAGGAGGAGACAAGUUCCUCAGACAUCACUGGCCUGUGAAGUCAUGUCCAGUGGGGGAACCUGUUGCCACCAUUUUCGACUAGUCGAUUGUGGAGAAAAAGAGCGCCAGGGAGUGGAGAAGGGACCUUGCAAGGGUUUGAGGGCUAUAUUGUCUCUGCGUCAGACAUACCGAAGGCAGUUUAGGUUAAGAAAAUACCUCACAUAUUGUCUAGGCGUCAGACAUACCGAAGGCAGUUUAGGUUAAGAAAAUACCUCACAUACUUUCAAGUUGAAGGCAGUUUUGAACUGCCUCCAAUAGUGUGUCGUCUCAUUGGAGGUGGUUUUGAUUUCGUAAACCGCCUGAGCAAGAAAGUUAGAGACAGUCGAUGAUUUUAACAUUCCUAACCGCCUCCAUGGAAAGCCUAUAAUGACCAUUUUGUACUAGUAUACGAUUAUUAUAUUUUAUAAAUCUCAAAUUAUAGUCUUGAUUUAAAAAAAUCAAAAAUAUUGUCCCACCAUUCUCGUAACAAUGAAGAGUGAAUCUUUAUCCACGCCGUGACCGAAGAGGCCAUUUUCGUCCAACCAUGGACUGAAGAUGCUCUUUUUGUCCACAUGUGGCCCGAAAAGGUACCCUUCGCUCCCAGCACACAACCGAAGAGGAAGUUUUCAUACUCUUCAUUCUAACUCAGAACGAAAAGAGUGCAACUAUAUUAAUGAAUGGCUACCCAUGUCCCUGCCGCUCUGGAGCUCCCUUUGCUGAACCCUCAUGCCAACAAGACCGUAUUAAUGACGAGAAUCCAUUUAGACGAAGAAUAGCUUGAAUCGUCCAUCGUGAAAAUAAAUUUUGCCUUGCAAUCUACAUCGACUGUCACAAGCCUACAUCAUGCUCGAUGAGAUAUUUUUCAAUUACUCUCAUCCAUCGACUUAUCUAAUUGUUGUCAACCUCGUAUUGAAUUGUGCCUCAUCCUAUUGUUGGCAACGGUCGUGUGCACCAUGAUACGUGCCAUCCGCGGAUGUGAACUGGAUGUGGCCAACUCUAGCAAUAACAAUAAUAUGAAGAGGAUCAAUCUCUAGGAGGUUGGCGGCAUCUAAUAAGUAGUUGUAUGCGAUAAAUUGGAAAAUUUCUUACUGAGUGUGAUGUAGGCUUGCGAUGAUCGAUUUGUUUUGAGAGGUGAAAUUUGGCCUCCAUGAUGUACAGUUCAAAUGGCUCUUGGUCUGAAUGAAUUCUUCUUGUUGAUGUGAUCCUGGUGCCAUGAUGGUUUGACAAAGAGAGGCUCUAGUGUGCAGGAAGUGCACGCAUGUGGCUGCAUUUGGCACAAGAACUCUUUGUGCUUGGUUAGAAGGAAGAGUGUCUCUUCGACUGGUGUGCGAAAGAAAGGGCACCUCUUCAGCCCACAUCAACAGUAUUUCACAUGUUGAUGAAGUACCACGUGGAUAACGCCAGAAGUAGGUACGUUACCACUGUCAUGCCUUCUUGGCCAAGGCCAUCAAAUUGAUUUUUCGCUAAUAAAAAAUUAUAUGUAAGGCAGACAAAACUGCAUAUAGGUACUCAGCAACUUAAUUAACUAGUUUAACUCCACAAAUCUACAUAGCUAGGUAGUACUCAUGAACUUAAUUAUUGACUAGUUCAACUUCACAAAAGUUACUUGUUAAAGAAGUAAAUAAUUCAACUUCACAAACUACAUCAUCAUUCCAUAGCGAGCCUGCUGGGUGGUCGAUCAUAUUUCUUUGUCAAAGAUUAACUUCAACUGACGAAUCUUGUGUCUAUUUUUCUCUCCAUUUUUUCUGAAAUGAGCUAUCUCCAUCUUGAGCUCAUUCCUCUCAGACCUAACGAGUUUUCUCUCAUUCUUCAGCUUACCCCUCUCCUCGGUCAGCUAAUCUCUCUCGUCCCUCAUCCUAACAGUCUUGCCAAAGAGAUCAACCUUCUCAUUCAGCAGCUAACCCUUCUCCGCCUUCAGCGUGACAUUCGCCUUCUGCAGGACCUUGAUGCUAUAUUGAUGAGACACUAAGAGGUCGCGGCUCUGCAUCUCCACAUCAUAUACCUCCUCCUGGUUGCCACCAGCAUUGGCGAUGACAAGUCAGCGCCAACUACAAAAUAAUGACUAGUCUCAGUGCCAACCACACAACAUAUAUGAAAAUUGAACUAUAUGAAGUUUGGUAACUAUUCAUGUCAUUAUACCAUGCAUUUGACAAUCACAUAGCAACAUUAAUAUAUGUAUCAAAGCAGAAGUUGUAUAAUGUGUGAAUAUAAUUGGAUGACUAUAUAGUAAAUUACUUCAUCAAGUAUCCUACAAAUGUAGGAGGACAUCAUAUAACAUUGCACAGAACAAACAAAAAAUAUUAUAUCGAGAAAGCACAACACAUAUAGUUUAGAUAAGUGUUCCAAAUUCUCAACGACAAUAAGAAGUUAUUCCAAAUUUAACAACACAAUUGUUCAAAUAAGGUGAAGUUGAACAUUACAUAGUUCCAAAAAAAUUAUUCAGAUAAGACCAAGUUCAACUAGACAAACAUGGCAACCUUUUCUUCUAUAGUGACAUAUAUGCUAUCUUUCAAACCACACUUCAUACAUUUCUUUUAGCAAGUACUUCCUAUGAACAUAUCGAAGCUCCUCAUCACUAAAUCAUCUCAAACUCUUCGGUACUCCCUGCGUACUAAGAUAAGCUAGGCCAAGACAAACUGACUAAUUUUACAUUACUAAAUCUAAUUGUACACUACUAAUUUUAUACACAAAUAAACCAAAUCCACGGAUUCCAUGGCAUCCGCGGACGAGGAAGAUGGUACAGGAGGGGAAGAANNNNNNNNNNNNNNNNNNNNNNNNNNNNNNNNNNNNNNNNNNNNNNNNNNNNNNNNNNNNNNNNNNNNNNNNNNNNNNNNNNNNNNNNNNNNNNNNNNNNNNNNNNNNNNNNNNNNNNNNNNNNNNNNNNNNNNNNNNNNNNNNNNNNNNNNNNNNNNNNNNNNNNNNNNNNNNNNNNNNNNNNNNNNNNNNNNNNNNNNNNNNNNNNNNNNNNNNNNNNNNNNNNNNNNNNNNNNNNNNNNNNNNNNNNNNNNNNNNNNNNNNNNNNNNNNNNNNNNNNNNNNNNNNNNNNNNNNNNNNNNNNNNNNNNNNNNNNNNNNNNNNNNNNNNNNNNNNNNNNNNNNNNNNGUCUCAACUGCUGACCCAGAGGUGGCGGCGAUGAGCGGUGUGGUCAGGAGGUGGCAGCGGCGCUGCUUAAGAGGGGGGACGAAGUGAAAAAGAUAUGAUGGGGUGAAUUAGACUUAGGUUUUUUUAUUGGAUAUAGUAGUUUGAAGAUGGACUGGUGAUGUCGUGGUAGGCCCAUGACAUAACAAAUUGUAGCAAACAGAAGAAAAAAAACUCAGCGAAUAUCUAUUGCAUGACCAAAAAAAUACUAUGUCAGCACUAAUCUAAUAGCGAUGACGUACAAAAUAUGCCAAUGCCAGCACUAUUUAAAAAAAUAGUGCUGGUUUUGAUCGAAAAUGACGCGCCGCCAACAAAAGUUGUAGAUGGCCAUUUCUCCACUGGUGAAAUAAUCCUUAAAAGUCUUAAAAAUAAUUAAAUCAGGACUAUAGUUUUGACAUUUCAUAAAAGUAUAAAAUUCCCAAUGUCAACAUCAACGUUAUUAUCAUAUACUCUUAUAGUAGUUAAAAUAAGUUCAAUUGGACUAUAUGCUAGAAUUUGCUUAUACAAAUCAGCAUGAAAUCCAUCUCGGCCAACUCAUUUGUUUGUCUGUGUGCCAAACACAUACUCCUGUAGUACCUCAAAGGUAAAUUUCCUAGUCAAUAUCUCCUAAAACAAACUAGAUUGUUCUGACUUUCCAAAUAAUAUUGGUUAGAAAUCAGUUAUAAAAUCAAUCGCAUUAGAUUGUCCUUCAAUAACUCCUACAUCUUGGUAAGGCUGAGCAGUUGUGUUUUUCUUUUCGUCUUCCAUUAGCCAUAGGUAUUUUCCCUUCAUGGAAUUCCAUCUCAUGAUAUCUGUGGAGUGAUUUCAUUUUCUCCUCUUUUAGAAUGAUCCUUAGGUAUUUUGACAUUGUUGUUGUACAAAUUGUCCUCAACUAUUAAACCUUGGGAUUCUUCUAGCCCGUCCAACCCAUCUUAUGCUUUCGGAGAGAUUUUUUCAGCUUCCUCUAUUCAACUUGAAUAUUUAUGUUUCACCCCUUAAGUUUUUUCCUUGUAUAAUUUUUACUGCCAGAUAUCUAAACAAGUAGCACUACGAUAUUUUUCUGCCAAAUCUAACCUACUAGUAUAUAAUAAAGUCAGGUCUAUAGAACCAACAAUUCUCAAGUUUGAAAACUUCGUAGAAUGUUGGGCAGUUCCCCCUAGGAGAUUAGUAUAUGGGUACAGCCAGAAAGAUCCUUGGCUAAAUAAGUAGCCCUCACUAGAGGAAACUCAUCUCCCUAAGUAGGGAAAACCAAAACUCUAUCAAACUUCUCAAAAGUGGGAACUUCCAUGUUCUCUGAUGACCAGGUAUAUUUCACACCACUAGGAGCAUCUCUAACCAAUCCUUGAAAAAUCAUUUAUAGGAGAAAAAUAGGCUGCUAAUGAGACAUAACCGAACUCUCAAAGGCCAAAGAACGUGCUAUCAUGUUUAAGAACCCGAACACAAGAUGCCACGGCAAAAAUGUUUUGGGAGCUCACUCAUGGAGAAAUCUUGACCCAAAUGGAGACAUCUCUUCGGAGUGAUGGUGGUGGCCUUGUGGAUGGUGGUGGCCUUGUGGAUGGUGGUGGUUGCCACGGAGAUGGGAGUGGUGGUCAUGUGGAUGGGGGUGGUGGCCGUGGAGAUGGUGUUGGACAAGGAGGAGAUGGUGGUGGUGGCCGCAUGGAUGCUUGUGGAUGUGGAGAUGGCGAUGAUGGAGAUGGUCAUGAUCUCUUUGGUGACAGUGGUGUUUGAGUUCGUGUUGCAUGCCUUUGGUUGGGCUCGAUCCGUGACAUAAACAUACUAUGUUGUGGUGAUUUUGGAUCAAACUUGAUCGAUGUGGUGCCUUUUGGAUGAACUGUUUGCAUGUUUUAAUUUGAAUUGGCAACUAUAUAUGAGUUCUUGGUUUGUGCAUGUUGAAUUUGAGUCACUCAAAUGAUUGAUUAAAUAGCAUGCGUUUGUUUGAAAUCUAUGCGGCUAGGCUAAAUGAAUUGAGCCAAAAAUAUGUCCUCCUCUAAAUAUAGGGAAACAAUUAGGCCCUGUAAAAGGUUGAUGGAAGCGCUGAACCCUUAGCUCGGGCCGCGAUUGUAUAUAUAUGAUGUAUGUCGUGGCUUACAAGAACCGGUCGAGAAGAGAUCGAUCGUUAUUGUUACAGGAGGUUGAAAGAGAUAAAAGAGAAGAAGAGAUAGAAAGAGAUACAAGUUAAACAGCUUUCCUAUCUCUACACAAUAUCUUCUAACACUCCCCCUCAGUCUAAACCUUAGGAAACUUGUGCAAGGUUAAGAUUGUACUUGAACUCAUCCAACCUCCUCAUAGUGAGAGGUUUUGUGAAGCCAUCAGCAAGUUGAUCUCGAGUAGGUAUAAACUGAAUAUCAAGUAGCUUUAAAGCCACUCUUUCUCUGACAAAGUGGAAAUCAACUUCAAUAUGGUUGGUGCGUGCAUGAAAAACAGGAUUAGCUGAAAGAUAAGUUGCUCCAAUAUUAUCACACCAUAAUCUAGCAGCUUUAGGAGCCUUGAUUCCAAGUUCAUAGAGCAAUGUCUGUAUCCACAUUACUUCUGUUGUAGAAUUCGCCAAAGCUUUAUACUCAACCUCUGUACUUGACCUUGAGAUAGUAGCCUCUUUUAUUGCACUCCAUGAUAUGAGAUUAGUUCCCAGAAACACAACAAAACCACCUGUAGUCCUUCCAUCAUCAGCACACCCUGCCCAGUCUACAUCAGAAUAAGAAGUAACAAGUAGAGAUGGAGGCUUGGUAAUCUGAAGUCCAAGUCCUCCACAAAACUUAAGAUACCUUAAAAUCCUCUUAACUGCACUCCAGUGAGUUGUUCUAGGUGCAUGUAAAUACUGACAUACCUUAUUCAUAGAGUAAGAAUUAUCAGGACGUGUAAGAGUUAGAUAUUGUAAAGCACCCACAACACUUCUAUAAUUUGUUGCAUCUUCUGAUCCAAGUGCUUCUCCUCUCUCAAUUGUAAGUUUUUCAGAAGUUGAAGUUUGUGUACUCACAUGUUUACAAUUGUGUAGUCCUACUCUCUUGAGUAUAUCAGCAGUGUACUUUUCCUGCGUAAGAAGAAUACCAUCUUUGACUCGGUUGACCUCUAUGCCAAGAAAGUAGUGAAGAUCACCCAAGUCCUUGAGAGCAAAUUCCAACUUGAGAUCUUUAAGCAAACAAGUGGUAGCAUCUGAACUUGAGCUUGCAACAAUUAUAUAAUCAACAUAAACAAGUACAAAUAUAGUGAUCUUGUCUUUAUGAUAAAAGAACAAUGAAGUAUCAGCUUUAGAUGGUGUAAAUCCAAGUUGUUGCAACUGCAUGCUCAACCUUGAGUACCAAGCUCUUGGGGCUUGUUUCGGACCAUACAAAGCUUUAUCCAACUUACAAAGAUAAUGUGGUGUGCUUUGAUUCUCAUAUCCAGGUGGUUGCCGCAUGAACACUUCUUCCUCAAGAACACCAUGAGAAACGCAUUCUACACAUCUAGCUGCCGUAAAAUCCAUCCUCUGGAAAUAGCAAUAGACAAUACAAGUCAAAUAGUAGCUACCUUAACAACAUGACUAAAAGUAUCUUCAUAAUGAAUACCAAAUCUCUACUUAAAACAUUUGUCAACUAAUCUAGCCUUGUAUCUGUCUAUACUUCCAUCAGAUUUUCUUUUUUAUCUUAUAUACCCAUUUGCAGUCUAUAACAUUGCUACCUUGCUUUGAAGGUACUAAGUGCCAAGUUCUAUUUGUCAUGAGUGCAUCAUAUUCUUUAUCCAUAGCCUCCUUCCAAUCUUUAUGUGCUAGAGCAUCAUGCAAAUUAUUUGGUUCACCAACAGUACUAAGAAAAACACGUUUGCCUCUGUCAUUCCAUACCGUACCAUCCUUAUACUCCUUAUUUUUGACGAUACCUGACUGUGACCUGGUGUGACGACGAGGAGCCGACGAUAGAGCUGCUGAUGUAGGCGUAGAACGAUCCACAGAAGAUCCCAUAGCCGGAUCCAAGAAAGAUUCUGCACUGGCUGCUGUGCCUGACACCUCAGAUGUCCCCCUGUCAACAGCUGCACCCGCCACGUCAUCCUGCGAACAAGUGGCGCUCGGUGAUAGGGACGCGCUCGCCCGCGGUGAUAAGCGCUCGUCCACGCCACGCGAUGAUAAGCGCUCGCACACGCCUGGACUAGCGGGCUCCACCUGGUGGGGGUUGUUGGCCAUGCAUGCGCAUGCACAUGCGCCUGGGCUGGCGGCCUCGUCCAAUCGCGGAGCGAGAUAGGCAGGGUCCACCUGGUCGGCCACCCGCGCACGAGACGCAUGCAGAGGAGAGCGAUCCUCCUGGGAUCGCGUGCUGCUAGGGACAGAUGCGCUGAUGCAAGGAUCGGCUUGGGAUCUAGCGCCGCUGCCAGCAGGAUCAGCAUGGGAUCUCGUGCGUGUCUCGUCCUGAUCUAUACACAUAAAAUGACGACCAAAAUCUGCAGAAUCACAAUUUUCAUUGGAAUUUUUCACAAGGUCAGCAUUAUUUAGUUCACCCCGUGAUCUGGAAGAAGAGCUAUUUCAGAACAGAGGAGAGCUCCUGCAUUUGGAUGAAACUUGGCAAAUGGAAAGAGAUUUUCAUCAAAAACAACAUCUCGAGAAAUAUAAAUACGUCCAGUAGCAACUUCUAGACACUUAUAGCCUUUGUGAAUAUUACUAUAGCCAAGAAAAACACAUUGAGUUGAACGAAACUCAAGUUUAUGACGAUUGUAAGGACGAAGAUUGGGGGAGCAUGCACAACCAAAAGUUUUGAGAGAAUUGUAAUCUGGUUUUUGAUUAUAGAGACGCUCCAAAUGAGUAGAAUUGGCAAUGACUUUGCUAGGAAAAUGAUUAAUAAGAUAUGUGGCAGUGAUGAAAGCUUCAUCCCAAUAUUUGAGAGGCAUAGAAGCAUGAGCAAGUAAAGAUAAACCAACUUCAACAAUAUGAUGAUGUUUUCUCUCUGCAGAGCCAUUCUAUUGAUGGGCAUGAGGACAAGACACAUGGUGUGCAAUACCAAUACUACGAAAGAAGGAGUUGAGCUUCUCAUACUCCCCUCCUCGGUCACUUUGGACUGUCAAAAAUUUUCUGGCAAAGUGUCUUUCAACAAGUUUUUGAAACUCUUUGAAUAUGGAAAAAACAUCAGAUUUAUACUUGAGUAAGUAAAUCCAGGUAAACUUGCUAUAAUCAUCAAUGAAACUAACAUAAUAUUUCUUUCGUCCUAAAGAAUCACGGGCAUGGCCCCAUACAUCACUGAAAAUAAGCUCUAAAGGAGCAUGAGAAACACUACUUGAUCUAGGAUAGGGAAGUUGGUGACUCUUGGCACAUUGACAAGCUUCACAAACUAAAUCACUAAGAGGACUAGGAGACAAAGAAAGAUUGCCUUUAUUGAUAACUUGCUUAACAAUGACUGAGGAAGGAUGUCCUAAUCGUUGAUGACACCUUGCCAUAGAGGGCUUGAUGAUGGAGUAGACCUGACAACGCUUGCAACUAAGUGCUCCGGAUGUGAUGGGGUAGAGGCCUCCAAUGCAUCUACCGUGGUGUAGAAGUUCCCUUGUUGCCCGAUCCUUUAUAAAAAAGUAACGAGGGUGAGUUUCAAAGAAGACAUUAUUAUCAGUGGCUAAACGAGACAUAGAAGCAAGGUUUUUGUCGGCUUGAGGAACAUGAAGAACAUCUUCAGAACUAGAUCACAGUUAAGCAUAGCUGAAUUAAUAAACGCUUGAGCAAUGUGUUGGAUAUCCAUACCUCCACCGCUUGCGAUGUCAAUCUGAUCAUUGCCGUGAUAUUUUUCACGGAGAGCGAACUUCUCUAGCUCACUUGUGACAUGAUCCGUGGCGCCGGAAUCAACGUACCACACGCCAUCUCCUCCUUGCUCACGCAUGGCUGCAGAAACAUGUUUAGCAUCGGGAACGUAGUCUUCAUCAAAGCGGGGCCAGCAAUCCAUAACCUCAUGGCCGGCCUUCUUGCAGAGUUGGCAGCGAGGACGACCACGAGAGGAAGAGGAGGAGCGGCGGCUAGUGUUGUUGUUGAAGCCACCACCCCCUUAUCUGUUGCUAGAGUUGUUGUAGCUGCCGCCUCCGGUGUUGUUGUAGUUGUAGUUGUAGUCGUUGUCCUGGGAGUUGCCGCGCCCACGCCCACCGCCGCGUUGCGCGUGGUGACCACGCCCACGACUGGGGCCACGCGAGACGGCGUUGGCGGAGGAUUGACGAAAGCUGGCGCCAUGAAGGAGGCUGAGGCGGGCGUCGAAGCUCAGGAGCUGGCUAUAUAGCUCCUGGACAGUGAUCGGCUCCACCCGAGCUGCAAGGGCCGAGACUACUGGAUUGUAGUCCAUGUCUAGCCCGGCCAAGAUCUUGGACACGAUCUCCGGAUCGGAGAACGCGGCCGCGGUGCAGGCAACUUCAUCUGUGAGGCUCUUAAUCUUUCCAAGAUAUUCGGCCAUAGUCAUGUUACCUUUUAGAAGAUUCGUAAGCUCGAUGCGGGUAUUUAUAGCUUGGGCUUGGCUCUGGGCGGCGAACAUGUCGUGGAUGGUGCACCAAACUUCAGCCGGCAUCUGCAGCGUGGCGACUUGUGCAAGAAUGUCGCGGGAAAGGGAGCCCUUCAAGUAGCCUUGGGGCUGUUGCUGCUGUGCAAACCAGAGGGAUCUUGCAAAGUUCAGUACAUGUUAUUCUUUGCCGUCCUUGGUGAUGGUGAAGGUGGACGGCGGUGCCGGACUCUUCGCGUCGAGAUAAUGUUCCAUCUGCGCGCCCCUGAUCUGUGGUAGGACGAUGGCCUUCCAGAGCAGGAAGUUGCCCCUCGUCAGCUUCUCUUGCGGCGGCGAUCCGAGGAAAGAGGUGGUGGAGUUGGAGGUGGAUGAUGACGCAAACGUGGAGGAGGAGGAGGUGGUGAGCGCACCCAUGGUGCUGGGCGUCAUGGAUGCGGUGGUGGUGGACAUGGCUGCGGUCGCCUGGUAGCUAGAUGCGAUCUCUAUCCAAUCUAUCGAGGAAGAGGCUCUAUUACCAUGUAAAAGGUUGAUGGAAGCAUUGAACCCUUUGCUCGGGCCGCGGUUGUAUAUAUAUAUAUUGUAUGCCGUUGCUUACAAGAACCGACCGAGAAGAGAUCGAUCGUUAUUGUUAUAGAAGGUUGAAAGAGAUAAAACAGAAGAAGAGAUAGAAAGAGAUACAAAUUAAACAGCUUUCUUAUCUCUACACAAUAUCUUCUAACAGGCCCGGCCACCGUUGGAGGCAAAAAAUUAUCCUCCACUAAAGAUACUUGCCCGUAUCCUCCACUAAAUUAUAGAUGAUUGGUUGGAGAUGCCCUAAUAGAGAUUUCCAUCAAGACAUCCGUUGCGCUACUUGAGUUGAAAAGGAUGCUCGACUUGUUGUAUCCGCCUGGAUUUUUCUUAUUAGAUGACCUCCUUGUCAUGUUAAAAUCUCCAACAAUAAAACUGGGCGCUUGUAAGGUAUUUAUGAGAUGCACCCGCUCAACCCAGAAUUAUGAUUUCUCUAUGGGAUGGGCACUGAGAAUCACCAAAAACAAUCACCACAUUCCAUGUCAACCCAUCAGAAAAUAUUCAACCUUCUCCUUUUCAACCACAUUAAAAGAAAGUAUAUUAGACAAGCCGGCAGUCUGGGCCGCCCGCAUUGAUCUUUUUUGCAUUAGCAUGAUUAUUAGGGCAUCUCCAAUGCCGACCCUCAAACCGCCAGCAUCUGUUCGGGCGUAGAAUCCAUCCAACGCGGGCUUGUAUCGGUCGGUAGGACGGUCCGGACACGUUUUCUCCCGCAAACCGAAAACAUCAUGGGGGGCUUCGCGGGAGUUCGGACCGCUGCCAUGCCCGCUUCUGACCGCCCUGGCCCACCCAAACCUCCUCCUCCCUCCCGCGUGUGCUUCCCGCCCGAAACGAUCAGCGUCACUCCAGAGCAUCAGUGCCCGCAUUCAUGCCCAGCCAAAGCGGACGUGACCGCUCACUGGUGUCGGCAUUGAAGCAGUGCGCUGACCGAUAGAGUGACACCCGCGCUGCUUCCUGGUGCAGGUGACCACUUCGCAUUCAAACGAGACGACAGCCACUCUCUUGUCUAUCUGCCGCCCACAUUAAUGACACAGGGUUGUCGAGGCCCAACUCUGGCGCUACCCGUCUGUCCCUCUGUCGCCCAUCAUUGCUAUAUAAACCGCUGCCACGGGCAUAGCCGCAGCCAUCUGUCUCCGAUCCCUCUUCGCACCGCUCCCACCAUGGAUUCCUCCCCCGACAAAGCUCUCAAGGACGGGCUGACGCCGUACCAGCAGAAGGAGUUUCUUGCCAUUGCUGUCGGUUGGCUGGCCGGUAGGAGGACGACGUCCCAACGGAGGACGGAGCCGAUGAUGAGUCGGCACCACACUCCUCGUCUGUGCAACCCUCCUUCUCCGCGCCACACUCAGCAGUGCUUUGCACCAUGACCAUCGGCGAGGCCCAUGCCCAUUCACUACUAGGGAAAAGCCUAGCAGUACCAUGGGUUUUUGGCCUAUCAGUAGCGCGGGUUGCCGCGCUACUGAUAAGGCGCUACAGCUAAAGGUUAGCAGCAGCGUUGUUCAACACACACUUCUGCUAAGUACUUACUAGUAGCGAGUUUUCCGUAAUGUGCUACUGGUAAGUACUAGCAGCGCGCCUCUGCGCCCGCGCUACUACUAUUAUUACGUGUUCUAUUUCUUUUUCAUUAUAUGUCGUAUUCAUACACCGUUAUACAAGUUUUCAUACAAUAGCAAUUUAGAGAUUGUUUUUACAUCAUAAUGAGUUAUUACAUCACUGGGUGAAAGAAUCGUGGACUAGUUUCAAGUGGAUGGAUCCAUCCACUUCAAACUAAUCUGCGGUUAUUUCACCCAAUGAUAUAAUAAAUCAUCAUAUCAUUAACAACUUAUCAUCAUAAUACAUCAUUGUCAUAUAACACCUCCUCAUGAUCAUCAUUUUCAUCAAAUGAGACAUCAUAUAGCAAGUUGGUCACUACUCAUAAUCACAACUCAUCAUCAUCAUCAUCAUCAACUCUUAACACAUUGUAGCACAUAAUAACACAUUUUACCUAGGGCCUACUCCUCUCUUAUAGGACCUACUACCUUAUCUUAGGUAAAAUAGCAUAAAAGAAGAUAGGCCCUGACUCUCCAUUAUGGAGAAUGGAGAUUAUCCUGUCUCCAAUUCUUGUGCUUCGCACAAUGUUGCUUCCAAGUAGCUCCCUACGAUUGACCAUACAUUUUUUCCAAUCUUUGAUUGUCAUGUCUCCAUCGGUUUUAGAAAUCUGAUACGAACAAGAGUCAUUCGUAGGAUGGCCUAGCAGUAAGUUCAAAACAUCAAGGCGGCCUUUCCGAAACAUCAGAUGAGGCACACAAUCCUUCGGGAUUUUCUGUUGAAAAAUAUUGUAAUAAUUUUGUAGUUAGCAAUGUAGUUGAGUUUUACAAGAAUUUAUGCAAAAGAUGCACGGAUGUCGUAAUAGUAAAGAAUCUUACCUUGACAUCUCCAUGGAUGUUACCAUAGUUCAACACAUGCACUAGUGGCACGUAUUGACCAUAAUGUGGAGGAGUUUGAUAAUAGAUAUUGUAAUUCUCAAGAUCAGUAAUAAAUGAGAUCAGAUGAUUUUUCUCCUGGUAAGUUAAUUAUGAGCCAUCGGUGUAGUAGGUUCUGUAUACCAUCUUCCGCACAUUCUUUGAAGAAUGAAAAUAAGCUAUCAAUAGAAAUAAGAUAUCAACUAUUUUGAAAUAAACAAUAUAAAUUGUUUAAUAACUAUGUUUGGGAAACUCACAUAGCGGUAGAAUUGGAAGCAUAUCAACAAGGACCCAAAUGUCCAUAUUGUCUUGGGCGAUGUCAGAAUCACCAAGAUACAUGGUGACAAGCAUACCCUCAUGAAAAUCAUACAUCUUGCCAAGGGCUUUCCAAUUCUGUCAACCAAAAUUGGAUACGCUCUCAGAAUUGUAUAGAUUUACAUCAGAAUCCAUACCAUGAUGGUCCUUAGGUGAAUUUUCUUUGUUUCCAUACUUUCAUGAUCUUCAAAAUACAUCCUCUCCAAGACAUAGCAUCUUGCAUGGCAUGGGAUAAGCUACUCGAAUUGUAAAAGACGAAAAUUACACGUUGAAGUACUAGAAGUAGUGCUUAAUUACGAAAAAACACUUGUCGUCAUUGCGUACCGUUUCAACGUCGAAGGUCUCCUAGAGCUUAAUGCUGAAGCACCAACCUUCGUCCAGGUGAGGCCUGUUGCCCAGACCCUGGUCGUCGUUGCGCCAGUCGCACUCCCCGGGAGACUUUCGUCGUCAGAUGACGACAUUUCCUAGGUUCAUAAUUCAAAGAUUAAACUGGUACAAUUAAAUAUAUGUACUACAAAAACUAAAUUAGAUUAUUAUUAUUCAUCACGGGUUGACUAUCGGUCUGCCACUCUUUUCUUGAAAACUCUCAGCUCACGUGGUGUAUAUAUUCGACUGUCGGUGAUGGUCGCUCCUCCCUUCAUCCCCAAGUGCAUUACAGCAAAAUAUCUAGCACGCCGGAACGAACGAGAAGCGACCCCCACGACAACAGUCGGGAUUCUUUGUUUUCUCAUAUACGAUGGAGACUCUCCCUCACUGAUUCCUCUCUGACAUUUGUGACCGUCGGUGAUGGUCGUUACUCCUCCUUCCCCUAGAACAUAGCAAAGGACUAGCACGAGAAGAAGGAGAAAUGACCCCCCCGACAACAGUCGGGAUUCUUCGUCCUCUCUCACAUAUGAUGGAUACAAUCCCUCACUGAUUUUUCGACCGUCGGUGAUGGUCGUUAUUCCUCCUUCCCCUAGUGCAUAACAAAGGUCUAGCACAAGGAGAAGAAGGAAAAACGACCCCCACGACAACAGGAGGGAUUCUUCUUCUGUCAUAUAUGGUGCAGACUUUCUCCCUCACUCAUUUGUUGACUGUCAUGUAUGGAGCCUUGAACGACUUAAAGUCAACCUGCAAUGUCGUUUAAUUAUCUUUCUAGAAAAUCCAGGCCACUCGUAAUGUCCUACAUAUUCUAGCACAAGUCAUGCCAAAAUUCACCGAAAAAUCUGGCAUGACCAUUGCUAAAAAAGGACAUAUCGGGCGCCUGAAAUUUGCUGGAACGGAAAUUAAUCAACACUCUGGAAAACAUAGGCCACUCGGAGGUGUAACCUGCAAACAUGGCCGACCACUUGGGCAAGCACAUAUCCUAUUUGAGGAACACAAGAUAUACAUGUUUAUAUCUACAUCAUAUGAGCAUUCAAACUUGGUGGUCAUUGCAUUUCAAUUGUUGAAAAUAUGAACAAAAACAUUUCAAAAUAUCUUAUAGGACUCAUAUUGACAUGGAGAUUUGGCUGGUCUCACCUCGAGGUCGGAGGCGGGCGGUGACGAGGACGACGGCGGGGAUGAUGGAGGGGCUCCUUGAUUUCUGCAAAAACAAAAACCAUAUAAGCUAUCAACUAAUCAAAUGCAUACGCCUUGCAUAGUGGGGUCAAUUUGAGCAUUCAAAAUAGGAGUAGGUCUCCAAUUUGAGCAUUCAAUAAGUAAAACCAAGUCAUAAUUCAGAAUGAUUGAGUGAGCUAAAAUCUGAAGACGGCUUAAGAUUAUUGAAAACUUCCCAAAUCAAUAAUACAACUAAAUUGUCAGAUGGAACCAAAAGGAAAUUGUAUUUGUCAAGUUUAAUCUGGACCAACUAAGAUAGUCUUCAAUAUUCAAGAUUGUAUCGGAUCUUGAUUCUUAAUCAGCGAUAACAAAUGACCACAUGCAUACAACAGGUGGAAGGAGAAGAUACUCACAUGUGUACCCACUUGAAUUUCCUGCAAGUAAGAAAUGGUUGGGAACAGAAUUACUGCAGAAGGAUUCAUAUGGAUGAACUGAGCGGUGAAAUCUUCCUGGUUAUUGUCAAUCACAACCAGGGCCGGCCCUAUGUUUUGGGAGGCCCUAGGCGAACUCGACGACAUGGGCCCUCUAAGUCCUAAGACCAUAUAUNNNNNNNNNNNNNNNNNNNNNNNNNNNNNNNNNNNNNNNNNNNNNNNNNNNNNNNNNNNNNNNNNNNNNNNNNNNNNNNNNNNNNNNNNNNNNNNNNNNNNNNNNNNNNNNNNNNNNNNNNNNNNNNNNNNNNNNNNNNNNNNNNNNNNNNNNNNNNNNNNNNNNNNNNNNNNNNNNNNNNNNNNNNNNNNNNNNNNNNNNNNNNNNNNNNNNNNNNNNNNNNNNNNNNNNNNNNNNNNNNNNNNNNNNNNNNNNNNNNNNNNNNNNNNNNNNNNNNNNNNNNNNNNNNNNNNNNNNNNNNNNNNNNNNNNNNNNNNNNNNNNNNNNNNNNNNNNNNNNNNNNNNNNNNNNNNNNNNNNNNNNNNNNNNNNNNNNNNNNNNNNNNNNNNNNNNNNNNNNNNNNNNNNNNNNNNNNNNNNNNNNNNNNNNNNNNNNNNNNNNNNGUGUUUGCGUGAUACAUAUAUAUAACUUCAUUUGCAUAAUACUAAAAGUAAACUUUCAACCACACAUCUUUAGUUUGAAAUUUGACUACAAUAGUUGUUGGACAAUGCAAAAUAAAACAAACGUGACAUGAUUACCUCAAAUAGGAAACAAAUUUAUUUGCUCCUCUGUAUACUUUCACAAUCUUCAUUGACCUUAACAUCUGAAUUUUCAUGCCCGGGAUUAGUUCCUUGCCUAUGUUCUUCACUGACAUCAACAAUACUUGAAGAUGUAAAAUACUUUGUCAAAGAACCCUUCAGUGGUUGAAUUUUCAGAUGUAUUUCUUUCUUUCUUUUUCUUUUUUCAGCACCCGACAAAUGCUUCUUAGGCAACAUGGCAUGCUAGUCUCCUAAUAUUACGAAGCAAAGAGUAGACAACAAAUUAGAAAUUUAUAGAUCGGAUGAUCAGAACCCUAAACAUGUACACAAAAUGACAAAAAAAUAGGAUGGUUGAAUACAUACUAUGAAAGAUUGAAUCAGAAAAUUAUACAUCAAAAAAUAGAUACUUCAUGGGAUGAAUAGUUCGAUAUACGUACUAAAGAAACUACUGAAAUUGGAGAUAGAUGAAUGGAUUAAGAACAUCCGAACAUGGAUAUUGGGUACGGACCUGCGUUCGCAUACAUAUGUAUUUCCGUAUUGCUCCAAGGCCGAGUUGUCGGAUUGCUGCGUGCCGCGGCAGCAACGAGCGGCUGAGGCACCAAGCGAGGAACGAUGGAGCGACGGGCUGAUGAGACGACAAAGAAGAAUCGACGAGCGACGAAUGGGAAAAAUUAGAUUUUUUUCGAGAAGAAAGGAAAAGCCAGACAUUCCGAUUGAUUUGUUUAACACGUGUGCGUGCAUCGAGUGGCUGUGACUUGCGUGCACGACGCUUCGCUACGCAUUACCAGGCGAUCUGAUGGGGCGAGCCCAUCUUGCUUUCUUCCUCUCAUAAUUUUUCCCUUGUCUAUUUUUUUGCUGGGCUAUACUAUAUGUGUACUACAUCCUGGGGCCCCCUCCGGCCUGGGCCCUGGGCCAUCGCCCCUCUGCCCAUGCCCCAGGGCCGGCCCUGAUCACAACAUCGACCAGAAUAGGCGGCAAGGUUGAGACUCAGUGGGGUUGGGAGCAGCAGGGCGGCAGGGCUGGUUUCUUGGAUGGGCCGCUCGGUGUGGCUGUCGAGGAGUAGAGGCCAUAUCUUAGAACAUGUGAAGGCAUGGAGCUAGCAAGGAGAUGAAGGCGAGAUGAACCGGCCGCUCACUGCUACCGAGUCGCCGCCGUCGCCUACCUGUACUCGGAGCCGCCGCUGCCACCGGCUGACUGCUCUCUCCUUGUCAACCCCCCUCCUCCUCUCCCGGUUAGGCGUAUAGAUAUGGCUGGGUGAGGGAGGGAGCAGCGAGGAUGGUGGUGGUAGAUGGUCGUAGCGGUGAGGGGAGGGGAGUCCGACCUGCCACCGGCCGCCUCUGGUGCGAGGCGAGGUGAGUCGGGCGGAGGGUUGGCCUGCUUCCGUCCGCCUCCGGUGCGAGGCGAGGCUAGUUGGGCGCGGGCGUGUGCGAGAGGAUGCCGGCGACCCUUUUUUCACGGUAACCAUUAUUCUACUUAGCAAAGUCACUGCGGGUUAAUUACUAAAAAGUAUAGGGAUCUUUGUAUAAAAACACCGCGACAGUGAACCUGGAGACUCAAUCAGUGCUUUAUUAUUAGGGAGAGAUUUGACAAUAUUCAAGACGAUUUAUUCGAGAUUAUAUUCGAUGAUGCAUAUUAUGUACAAUGAUUCCAUUUUUUCUUAUUGAUUUCAUGCAUGCAUUGUAAUUUGAAUACUAAAUUGUUUUAUAUUUCUUCUGGAUUAGUUAAAUAAAAGCUAUGGACAAUACCGGCAGAGAAGGAGAGGAGGCCCUAUUCAACAUCAUACGCUCAUCCUCUCUCCCACAUGAGUUUGAAGAAGAUGACGGCUCACAAUAUCUGAACCCUACCGGGGAGAGUAUGAUAUUUGAUGAAGACAACUGAAUAGAUUAAGACCAGAACUAUGAAUAUGAUGACGAAGAAAAUGUUGAUCUUGAAAUAACAAAGACCGGUGAGGUAUAUUUAUAUAAGCAAGCAUAUGGUGAUCAUCACAUGUUUUAAAUGAUUUGUAUAUAUAUUAAUGAAUCGAUCUUUCUUCUUUAUGCCCUCCGGAUCGAGCAAAUCUUCUACAGGCAGGAGGACAGUGCGAGGCCUGGCCAAAAAGUUGAAGGUUGAUGUAAAGUACAAGUUCGUUCAUUAGUGCGGAGUUCUUGUGAAGGACCAAAUCCCGAUCUCCAUUCAAGAAUGGAAAAAGCCAGCAAAGGAACAUCCAUAUCUUACUUUUGUUGACCAAAGAGCAAAAUAUCUGCUUUGGGAAUAUCUCAUGUCACAUUUCACCCUACCAGAUCAUGUCACAGAUGCAGAUGUGCAGAAAGUCAAGGAAGCUGCUCCUAGGAAGAUGGCGGUUGCAUUCAACAACCAAAAGAAAAGUAUAUGGGCCCAGUACGUCGAAGGAGGAAACAAGACUCCAGAAUGCAUGGGUACACUGGAGAAGCAAAUACAUCACUGGCCCGCUUUCAUGAAAUUCAAGGAAUCGGAAUUAUCUAAGGAACGGUCGAGAGUAAACAAGCUCAAUGCUGCGAAAAAGGAUCAUUUCCAUAUCCUGGGGCCAGGUGGCUACGUGGUGGCCCGACCUAAGUGGGAUAAGGCUGAGCAACAGAUGGUGGAUGCAGGGGUCAUUCCAGUUACAUUGAGCUGGCCCCCCAGGUCGAGAACUUGGUUCUAUGCGCAUGGGGGGAUGUUGGACCCAAAGACAGGCCAGGUUUUGGACAAAGGCAAGUCUUGAAGGAGCCGACCUCAAAUUAGUUGUUGCAAUAGAAGAGGCUCGAACGGGGGUGUUCACGCCCAGCAAAGAGAACGACGAGCUUACGCGCUCCCUGGGAAAUCCUGAACACCCGGGAAGAACACGAGGCAAAGGCAUUGUUUCGCGGUAUGAGGGGUUUGCGGACUUGAACGCCGACUACAGAAGUCAUGCGAGAAAGAAGAUGGAGGAGGAGAAGAAGAGGAAGCUGGAGGAGUUGCAGAGGAAGCAGGACGCAGAACACCUUCAAGUCCUAGAAUCAGCACACGUGGAGUUGGCACUCCAGUUCCAGCUGCAACUAUAGGAGAUCGACUCACUUAGCCAAGAAAGGGGGUCUCAGCAGCGGCGGAAGCUAGCGGAUCCAGCAUUGGAUUGCACCGUCCCAUCCAUGCCGAGAAGCAGUGUGGGUUCCGCCCCGGGCGAUGAGGCACUGCUGGAUAGAUACCUUGUGGAUGAAAUCAUGGUUAACAUUAAAUUUGAGCUACACUUCAAAAUGAAGAACAUAUCCAUGAAGGUGGCGGACGUCGUUGCUUAUACAAAUCCCCCUGAAGCAACCUUCCAUUGCAACCAGAUUCCAGCUGGCUAUGCUCGUGUCGUGGUAGAUGAAUUGGUGGCACAAUAUUCGAGGCUAGAGCUUGACAUUCAUGGAGGUGACGAUGAGCACACACUGGGAGAGUCCAUACAUCGUAUCAUUCUAUGGAGAAACAGUUGCACCAUCUUUCCAAGGCCACCGACACCACGUCAGCCGACUCCUCCUCGAAGUCCUCCAUCGCGUCAGCAGACUCCCGCUCCUCCAAGUCAUCAGCCACCGCCUCAGCAGAGUCCUACUCCUUCAAGUCCGCCAACGCGUCAGGCCACUCAUUCUCCUCCAAAUUCGGCACCGCGCCAGCCCACAGAGCGAAAUGAGCCUCACAGUCCAAAAACAACUCACAAAGGGCUACGAAUCCCGUGAUAUGCAGCAUGGAGGCAGGCGUAAGGUUGUGCAACUAGAGGACGUAGAACUCCAGGAGCCCCCGGAGAAACGAAUGAAUUGGAAAUCCGAGCCCUCUUACCAAAUAAGGGACAAGGCAUACCCGCUCUCCCUUGGAGCGAUUGGGAAGGCUCUCCGCUUGCUCUCCGCCAUUAUAGGUGGCAAGCCCAGCUCGAACUGGGACCAUGUACGCUGGGGGAAGAAAUCCCUUGGUCUGAAGCAUCACUAAUUUGCUAUGCAGGAUGGAACAUCUCUCCCAAUCUCCAGGCUUGGGGCUAGGGGAGCGAGAGGAGGAGCUGCGUAGACCGGCCAUGAUUGGAUGGAUCUCUGUCGAAUGCGCUCCGAUGAAGGCUCUCCAAGGGAGGAUGGUGUGAUUUGGAUCUGAAUCCUCGUCUUUUUAAUAGGCAGCUCAUUCACACAGCUAGGGGGGUAAAUGUAAAAACACCCUGGCUCUUCACAUUCGCUCGACACAUGGAAAGUGGCCAUUAUUGGGCGUGGAAGCCAAGGAGUGCAACAUUCACAAGAGGUCGGGCACUAUUUCGACAGUUACACGGAAUUUGGAGAGGAACCCGCCCUGCAAUGCGGAAGACAAUACUGCGCGCCGGACUCAUUGUCAUUGAAGCCUGGUUCGGGGGCUACUGAGGGAGUCCUGGAUUAGGGGGUCUACGAACAGCCGGACUAUAUCCUUCGGCCGGACUGUUAGACUAUGAAGAUACAAGAUUGAAGCCUUCGUCUCGUGUCCGGAUGGGACUCUACUUGGCGUGGAAGGCAAGCUAGGCAAUACGGAUAUGGAUAUCUCCUCCUUUUAACCGACCUUGUGUAACCCUAACCCUCUCCGGUGUCUAUAUAAACCGAAGGGUUUUAGUCUGUAGGACAACAACCAUAACAUACAAUCAUACCAAGCUUCUAGGGUUUAGCUUCUCCGAUCUCGUGGUAGAUCUACUCUUGUACUACCCAUAUCAUCAAUAUCAGUCAAGCAGGACGUAGGGUUUUACCUCCAUCAAGAGGGCCCGAACCUGGGUAAAACAUUGUGUCCCCUACCUCCUGUUAUCAUCCGGCCUAGAUGCACAGUUUGGGACCCCCUCCCCGAGAUCUGCCGGUUUUGACGCCGACACUUAGCCAUAAAUUUAUCAAACUCAUCUAAGCAUGGGCUAGCAAACUUAGUAAACGGAAUUACAGCUUUAUCAUAUCUAUAGAGAGAAUUUACCUUUACUACCUGUGUCGGGUUAUCAAGACCAUGAGUUUCUUCGAUGGGUAAUGGAUUAAGAUUAUAUGUUUCUUCAACAGGCGCUAAAUUAAGACCAUGCAUUCCUUCAAUAGGAGGUAAAUUCUAAACAUCUUCAGCUUUAAUACCCUUUUUCUUUCAUAGAUUUCUUUGCUUCUUGCAUAUCUUCAGGACUGAGAAAUAGAAUACCCCUCUUCUUCGGAGUUGGUUUAGGAAUAGGCUGAUGAAUUGGCUCCGGAGGUGUCCAAUUAUUUUCAUUUGUCAACAUAUUAUUCAAUAGAAUCUCAGCUUCAUUCGGUGUUCUUUCCCUGAAAACAGAACUAGCACAACUAUCCAGGUAUUCUCUGGAGGCAUCGGUUAGUCCAUUAUAAAAGAUCUCAAGUAUUUCAUUUUUUUCUUAAGAGGAUGAUCAGGCAAAGCAUUAAGUAAUUGGAGAAGCCUCCCCCAAGCUUGUGGGAGACUCUCUUCUUCAUUUGCACAAAAUUAUAUAUAUAUAUAUAUAUAUCCCUUAAAGCAACUUGUUUCUUAUGAGCAGAGAAAUAUUUAGAAGAGAAGUAAUAAAUCAUAUCCUGGGGACUACGCACACAACCAGGAUCAAGAGAAUUAAACCAUAUCUUAGCAUCACCCUUUAAUGAGAAUGGAAAUAUUUUAAGAAUGUAAAAGUAGCGAGUUCUCUCAUCUUUAGUGAACAGGGUAGCUAUAUCAUUCAAUUUAGUAAGAUGUGCCACUACAGUUUCAGAUUCAUAACCAUGAAAAGGAUCAGAUUCAACCAAAGUAAUUAUAUUAGGAUCAACAGAGAAUUCAUAAUCCUUAUCAGUAACAAAGAUAGGUGAAGUAGCAAAAGCAGGGUCAGGUUUCAUUCUAUCAUUUAGGGAUUGCUUACUCCAUUUAGCUAAUAAUUUUUUAAGUUCAAUUGUAUUUCUGCAAGCUAAAAUAGCUAAAGAAGCAUCUUGGUCAAAUACAUAACCCUUAGGUAUAGCAAGUGGUUCUUCAUCAUCACUUUCAUCAGUAUCAUCAGAUUCAAUAUUUUCAAUUUCUCUAGCCCUAGCAAGUUGUUUAUCAAGAAUAUCACUAAGUGCCAUAGUAGUAUCAGGCAUAGAGGUAGUUUCAUCAUAAGUAUCAUGCAUAGCAGAAGUGGCAUCAUCAAUAACAUGCGACAUAUCAGAACGAAUAGAAGAAGCAGGUGUAGGUGUCGCAAGUUUACUCAAAACAGAAGGUGAAUCAAGUGCAGAGCUAUAUGGCAGUUCCUUACCUCCCCUCGUAGUUGAGAGAUAGAUCUUGGUUUUUGGAUCUCUCAAGUUCUUCAUAAUGAUAAGCAGAUAUAUAUCCCAAGUGACACAAAGAAUGGAGCUAUGCUCCCCGGCAACAGUGCCAGAAAAUAGUCUUGAUAACCAACAAGUAUAGGGGAUCGCAACAGUUUUCGAGGGUAGAGUAUUCAACCCAAAUUUAUUUAUUCGACACAAGGGGAGCCAAAGAAUAUUCUCAAGUAUUAGCAGCUGAGUUGUCAACUCAACCACACCUAGAAACUUAAUAUCUGCAACAAAGUGUUUAGUAGCAAAGUAAUAUGAUAGUGGUGAUAACGGUAGCAAAAGGUAACAGUAGUAAAAGCAAUGUUUUUGGUAUUUUGUAGUGAUGAUAGAAAUAGCAACGAAAAAGUAAAUAAGCGAAGCACAAUAUAUGGAAAGCUCGCAGGCAAUGGAUCGGUGAUGGAGAAUUAUGCCGGAUGCGGUUCAUCAUGUAACAGUCAUAACCUAGGGUGACACAGAACUAGCUCCAGUUCAUUGAUAUAAUGUAGGCAUGCAUUCCGAAUAUAGUCAUACGUGCUUAUGGAAAAGAACAUGCAUGUCAACUUUUGUCCUACCCUCCCGUGGCAGCGGGGUCCUUACGGAAACUAAGGGAUAUUAAGGCCUCCUUUUAAUAGAGAACCGGAACAAAGCAUUAACACAUAGUGAAUACAUGAACUCCUCAAACUACGGUCAUCACCGGUAAGUAUCCUGAUUAUUGUCAGUUCGGGGUUAACGGAUCAUAACACAUAAUAGGUGACUACAGACUUGCAACAUAGGAUCAAGAACACUCAUAUAUUGAUGAAAACAUAAUAGGUUCAGAUCUGAAAUCAUGGCAGUCGGGCCCUAGUGGCAAGCAUUAAGCAUAGCAAAGUCAUAGCAACAUCAAUCUCAAAACAUAGUGGACAAUAGGGAUCAAACCCUAACAAAACUAACUCGAUUACAUGAUAGAUCCCAUCGAACCCAUCACCGUCCAGCAAGCCUACGAUGGCAUUACUCACGCACGGCAGUGAUCAUCAUGAAAUUGGUGAUGGAGAAUUGUUGAAGAUGACGAUGGCGACCGAUUCCCCUCUCCGGAGCCCCGAACGGACUCCAGAUCAGCCCUCCCGAGAGGUUUUAGGGCUUGGCGGCGGCUCCAUAUCGUAAAACGCGAUGAUUUCUUCUCUUUGAUUUUUUUUCUCAUCAAAACUCAAUAUAUGGAGGUGGAGUUGGAGUCGGAGACGCAAUAGAGGGCCCACGAGGUAGGGUGUAUGCCCUAGGGGGGCAGGCGUGCCCCACACCUCGUGGCAAGACGGUGGGCCCUCUGGCCUUCAUCUUUGGCAGGUAUUUUUCUUAUUUUCUGAAAAGUGUCUUCGUGAAGUUUCGGGUCAUUCGGAUAAUGUUUGAUCCUGCACAUAAAUAACACUAUGGUAGUUCUGCUGAAAACAGCGUCAGUCUGGGUUAGUUCCAUUCAAAUCAUGCAAGUUAGAGUCCAAAACAAGGGAAAAAGUGUUUGGAAAAUUAGAUACGUUGGAGACGUAUCAUCCAUAUACAACAUAUGAGAUAAUACUUUAUAGCUUGCACUCUAAAUAUUGUCUCUGUUUUUGUCUUUCAUAUAUAUUUAUUAAACCGGUUAUGUUAUAGUGAGUUUGAUGGGAUGCUACUGAAAAAUAUAAAUGAACAAAUGUAUGAAAAUGAGGUAUUUGAUCUUCCAAACAACGAGGAUGUUGGUGACUAUUUAUAGUUCAAGUUACUUUAUGCUACAUUUAUAUCGUGUGAUCCAUGCCUAAUAUUCAGACAUUUUACAUCAGUUGCAAUUAUAUUCUAGAAUAAUAAUAAUGCAGACAUUGUUUCCCUUGUUUUUUUCACUAUAGUGUUGCUCCUAUACAACUAGGUGAUAAUAUAGGUGGUGAAGUAGAUAAGAGCAAGAGUUAAUAAGCAUGUCAGUUUUUUUCACUUGUUUCUACUUGUUAACUUUCUUAACUAGAUGAAUAAAAUUAAGCUAAUAUUAUGCUAUAUAAAUUGGGUUUCCCUAUUUACUUAAAAUGAUUGUCGAAUAUGGCAACAUACAAUUAUAGGCCCUCCAUUCUUUACGGUAUGAUAAACAUAUAACAAAAUUAUAUCUUGAUGAACCCAAUAGCUAGUCAAGGAAAUUUGACUUGAAUGGCUACUUGAUCAAUGUGACCAACUAAAUCCUUAAUAGAUACUGGUCUGAUCAACAGCUAAUGAAGUACUAAAUUGUGAAUGGUCAUCACAUACGUGUCUACAACCCCUUAUAAAUUCAGAUCAGUAUACGAAAUACACAAAGAGAAAAAGAGAAAUUUAACAUGAAUAGUGUCAAAAUGAAAUUCUUCACAUUUAGAUCUGGAUUUUUUUGGGGAUGUGCACAUAUAUGUGAUGAACAUUAAAAACAAAAUCAAAAUAUUUUGACGCAUCCAAAGUUGAAUUUGUCAACUUUAUAUCAUGCUAGUGCAUGAAUGAUAUUAUCACAUGAUAUUCUCCCUAGUAGCAGCAUACACACAUUGCAAGUAUACCAGAAUGUCGUUCUUGACCGAACAUUAAUUAUCGAUGUUUUCAUAGCUCCUCCGGACCUAAAAUUUACAUUCUUGAUGAUCGUUGGGAUGUUUGGUAUGAGAGAGAUAGACAUCGUGUUUUUGUAGCGCCACCUUACAAACCAUUAGUUGCCCGUGAAAACGAGGUAAUUUAUUGUACCCUCAUACUUCUGUAUUUUGAUUUAUGUACGUCAUAUGUGAACUAGUCUAAAAUGUUGCAUGCCAUGUCUGCAAAGUAUUCUUCAAGUCCAUAUACAAUAUAUGAGAUAAUACUUUAUAGCCUAAACUCUAGAUAUUGUCUCUGUUUUCGUAUUUCAUAUAUAUUCAAUAAACGGGUUAGGUUAAUGUGAGUUUGAUGGGAUGCUCCUGAAAAAUAUAAAUGAACAAAUGUAUGAAAAUGAGGUAUUGGAUCUUCCAUGCAACCAGGAUAUUGGUGACUACUUGCAGUUCAAGGUAUUUUAUGCUACAUUUAUAUGGUGUGAUCCAUGCCUAAUAUUCAGAAAUUUUACAUCUAUUGCAAUUCUCUACUAUUAAAGGAGAAUCGAACAUCGUGAUGGUUCGACCUCCAUCGAGGCCCCCUUCUAUCGCUAGCUUUCCCACCCACGUCCUCCCACCGUUUUUUUUCAAUCCCUCAGAAAACCAGAGGCAAGUAAACAAGGGAACCAAGCGGUUCAAUCAACAUCUUCCUCCCCACCUCGUACGGUCUACACACAACAUGGGCAAAGAAAAAAAACAAUGGUUCGACCUCCCGUCGCACGAUCUACGCAGCAAAACCAGCACACGAUCGCCCCUGCUUUUUUCGUGUUCAAUAGGCGCUUUUGCCCACGAUCUAUCCACCCGAAGCCCACGCACACCACGUCCGUCUCUCCCACCCCGUACUUCUUCGCAGCCGCAGCCGCCGAUCUGCUCUCAAGCUGCCACACCGAUCUGCUCUCCCACUCUCCGUUCUCCUUGAUAUGGUGUCGAGCUCCUCCGCACACCUGCUCUCCGUGCCGUUGCGGCACCGGCAGUGCAUGCUGCUGCUGGGUUCGGGUACGCGACGCCUUCGCUGGUGUGCCACCAACGACGAGCCGGCGCGCCGUCGUUGUCCCCUUCCGCGUGGGCCGACCUGGACGGAAGGCUGUCGAUCCAUCCUCGACUGCGAGGCGACGGCUCGACUUCCUCCGAUCUGGUGGUAGGACGAAAUCCCUUUCUCUCUUGCUUCUAUGCUUGAUUUGGUUCUGUUUUUGUGCUGAUCUGAUUUACUUUCAUGGGCGUUUUGAGUUACUUGCAUGUACGCAAUCUUUCCCACUCUUUAGAUAACUCAUGAUCCAACCCUUGUACUCACGGUUCAGUAUAAAAUAGUACAGGAAAUAUUCUAUAUUUUACGGUCACAGUGUACAUGGUGAAAAGUAUUCUAUAUGUUUUUUUCUAUUGAUACAACAAUGAUGUAUAUGAUUAUUAUAUGGUGUCCAAAUGAGGCAUGUGAUUGUAAUAUGAUGUGUUUGUGAAAUGCGAGCAGUAGCCAGUACAUAUUUUCCUCUUGUGAUUUUGAUAGCUCGGUGAUGGCGGGCGAAGCCACCAAGCAUCGACACACAUCCUAACCAAUUCGGUUUGGUGUCAUCUUGGAUCUGACUAAUUUUCUUCUUUUUUCGCAUGAAGUUCUAAUGGAUUAAUAUUCUUGUAGGUUGAUUUGAAUCCCCAGGUAUGUGGUUAUGCAUGAGCUGUGGAAGCAAAGGUGUGUGUCGGCUGGAGCUGAUUUAUGGGGCUGUAAUUUGGAUGGUACAAAACUGUAUUAAUACAGGCUCCCACUCAAAAUUUCACUGCACCAAAGGUUCUCGUAAGUGCUUGACUUUGUUUCUUCAUACUAUGCGGUAUAAUACCUAUGGGACAUGAAAUUAGUAAUUACCCUUAAAUAUUGUCUGUACUGGAUAGCCAAAAUUAGGUUUAUUUGUUUCUCUCUCCUGAGCACAUUUUUAUAACAUUGCUACUCAAAUAUAACUUGUGUUUCCCUGUCCUGCAUUUUUGCAUCGUCCUCCAUACAAAAACAUGAUGGGAUUUGGUCCAGGUGAGAACAUACAGGACCGUAACGAUCAGCCUGUUUUAAUUUACUGAAACUGGGUAGACGCUAGACAGGGACGUGAUUAUCCUUGGUAUAGCUCCAAAGAAUUUUAAUGUGCCAAUUAAAUGUGAUGCUUGGUGGUAGAUUGGAAGCUUGCUACAUGUUUUUCUCAAUGGGCAUACCUGUUGUUAUCUUGCCAAAGCCCAAGUUUAUACAAUUAUGCUUCUGUAACUACAAUGUCAGUACAUUAUGCUAGGUAUGUGCCUCUUUAGUUGUCUCUUUCUGGUUUGGUCUGUGUUUUCUGUUUAGUUAUGGGGUGCCUAAUUCUUUAGUAAUACUGCACUGUUCUGCAAAAUUAUGGUCUAACUUUACUGGGCAGAAUUAUGGCCUAACUUUACUGUACUCUUGCAAUUUUUCUCCUGCAUGAUCUACCAAAUGGUGUUAAAAUUUACUGGGCAGAAUUAUAGACUGAUUUAUGAAGGACACAAAACACCAUACAUGAUUUAGCUGCAGCUCAUGAAGUGCUGAUCAUGUUGCUUCACGAAAGGUUCACAUUAUAAUUUGCAAUCUGAAUCGGUUUUCACAAACAUAAAAUGUUAAUACCCUUUUCUAUGAGCUUUUUACCAUGUGAAGCUUGUCUGUUUAAUAUGUCCCAUAAUCCUGAGAAGAAUCAUGACCAUUGAUGAAAUCCAGCUCUCUCUUUUUUUGGAAAAAAUGCUAGGAAAAAAAGGUUCAUAGUGAUUUUUCCUUUCCUGCGAGAGCUGACAUAGUUUAAAAAGAGUGCACUUCCGGCCAUGCUGAAUUGUAGGAUAAAAUGACCAUGGAGUUAGUCAUGGUCAAGUUGACUGAAGCAUGUGUAUCCAAACUGAUACAUGUACUGCAUUAUGUCUUUUGUACGGAGAUAUGGACAUGCUUUGUGCUUGUAUUUGUAGUUUAGUGAGUUUACUCCUUCUCGGACAAACUUAAAAUUCCAAAUGUUUACUGGGAAUGUGUUUUGAUCCUAGAGUGGAGAUGCAGAAAGCAAGUGUGAAAAAGGCACCAAAGUUUGUCAGCACUAGCUCUAUGCAUGCCUUUGUGAAACUGAAUGGCAUUUUGCCACACCUUGUCACACCUUUCUGAGUAGCUGAGAACUAAUAAAAAAAGUUUAAUUAUUUUCAUCGUGCUAUUCGUUGAUUUUGGUGUGCCCUUGAUACUCCUAUGCAUGGCGCAUUUGAUCUAUUAAGUGAACUUUUUCUUCCAAUCCAGCACCAUUAUGUUGUAAUGAUCAAGCUUUCCGUCGACUACAAAAGUUCCAACAAAAUAUUAUGUUGUUUAUUUCUCUCCUAAAUCACUAUUUGUUAUAAAAAUAGUGAAAGAAAUAAACAACAUAAUCUUCAGUAUGUUUAAAGUAGGAUAUCUGGUAUUGUGGUUUUAAAAUUUGUUGGAUAUAAACUGGCAACAAUAUCAUGUGAACUUGGAUUUAUAUAUGUCUUAGUAUUAAUUUGAUGUCAACUAACAGUAGCACAUCUCUAACAAUGAUACUCGAAGAAUUGUUGUGUGUUUGUAGGAAACACUAUAUAAUGAGCAUAUAACUUUCUAGAUGAUUCGCUGACGCAUUGUUGAUUUUAAGGCGCGGAAAUUACUGGCAUUUGUUAUGAGCGAUCUUAAAUAUGUUUGCUUCUCUCUCGGGUAGAAAACUUUGUUCCUUGCAACGUGUUGAUGUCUACCUCUAUGCCAUUCCAAAGUGAGGAUUUGUAUAUGUCUAUAACGACAUCCAUACAUCUUUAGCUAUAGUAUCGCUGAGGUGUCUAUCAGCAGAUGAUUAUGAGAAUCACUAGAAGGUUAACCGGGUUUGAAGAAGAUAGUGACGCAUAAUGGGGGAGUACAAAAAAGGAGGAAGAAUACAUUUUUGUCUCUUGCAAAGUGGUCACAGAAAAGGAGUUCCACUACAGUAAGUGAUUUCAGGGGUACGAUAUGGUCGUAGUUGGCAGAGUAGGAAGCAUGAGCGAAUAACAUCAUUUUUCAAGUCGCAGUUCGCUGAAACAGCCAUGUAAUCAAUAGCGCUCUAUCCUUUUGCUAUUCUGUAGCCACCAGAGAUGAAGAAGAUGUUUGCUUGGUCUGUUUCGGCUGGGUGCCGGAGGCUAUUGGGACUGAGAUGAAACUAGCGAUCCCUGUUGCAGCUUGUAAUUUUUAGUAUCGUUGUUAAAUUUUGCCUUAUGCCUUGAUUGGUUUGGAGCUGGAGGUGAAUUUGAUCAUUGCCCCAAUAUCACUAAAUAUUUGUUGGCAGAGUUGACAUUCAUGUUAACGUGUUUCAUUUAAUGUCUCUUGUUUGUUGUUAGGUCAUAAUGGAGAAUCAUUUGUUGUAGCGAAGAGAGUGAAAAUAGAGUCGAGGAGCAGACGUGAAGGGUGAAAUUGAGGAAAUGAAUUAUUCUGUAGUGGUCGCUUUGGCUACUGUCAGAUUUGUUCGUCAAGAAGAUAUCCAAAAAACCCAGCCCAAUUUUACACCAUUUGAAAUUAAGCCUUCUCUGCCUGGGUUUCAUAGUUGUGCACUAUAAUUGCAUGGUGUUUCGGUCAGAAUUUGAUGCGAGCGAUAUAUGCGUCCAAGAUGUGGCAAGAAGCAUAUAGUAGUGCAAGAAUAUGUGUAGCCAUUAGGAACAACAGCUAUGAGUCCAUGACUAGCACCAACAAUGCUAGAGUAAGGGUGGACGAAGAGAAUGGUGGUGGGCCAAGAGGGAAGGGAGAAAUAUAUCACUUUCAUUGCAUGCAAGAAAAUGGUGCCUAAUGAAACACAAAGGCUUACUUGGAGCAAAGCAGCGAAUGAACAUGAAUGAAAAUCAUGUACUGCCAUCUUCUGCACACAUUUUUGAAUUAAAACAAAUAUAUAUAAUCAUAAUGUCCACAUUUUAUUUCGUAUCCGUGGCAACGCACGGGCAUUCGACUAGUAUAUUCUAGAACAACAAUACUGCAGACACAGUCUUGCGCCUAUUGUACCAGGUGAUAAUAUAAGUGGUGAAGUAGAGAGUAGCAAGAGUUAAUGAGCAUGUCAGUUUUUCUCACUUGUUUCUACUUGUUAACUUUCUUAACUAGACGAAUAAAAUUAAGCUGAUAUUAUGCUAUAUAAAUUGGGUGCCCCUAUUUACUGAAAAUGAUUGUCGAAUAUGGCAACAUACAAUUAUAGGUCCUCCAUUCUUUAUGGUAUGAUGAACAUAUAACAAAAUUAUAUCAUGACGAACACAAUAGCUAGUCAAGGACAUUUGACUUGAAUGGCUACUUGAUCAACGUGAUCAACUAAAUCCUUAAUAGAUAUUAGUCUGAUCAACACUUAACGAAGUACUAAAUUUUGAAAGUUCAUCACAUACGUGUCUACAACCACUAAUAAAUUCAGAUCAAUACACAAAAAAAGAGAAAUUGAACAUGAAUAGUGUUAAAAUUUCACUAUUCACAUCUAGAUUUCUCUUUGUGUAUUUUACAUUUUGAUCUAAAUUUUGUUGGGGAUGUGAACAUAUAUGUGAUGAACAUUAAAAAGAAAAUAAAAAUAUUUUGACACAUCUAAAGUUGAAUUUGUCAACCUUGUAUCAUGUUAGCAGAUGAACGAUGGUAUCAUGUGAUAUUCUCCGUAGUAGCAGCAUACACACAUUGCAAGUAUACUAAAAUGCCAUUCUUCAUUGAACAUUAAUUGUCGAUGUCCGCAAAGUAUUCUUCAAGUCCAUAUACAAUAUAUGAGAUAAUACUUUAUAGCCUGUACUCUAAAUAUUGUCUAUGUUUUUGUCUUUCAUAUAUAUUUAUUAAACCAGUUAUGUUAUAGUGAGUUUGAUGGGAUGCUACUGAAAAAUAUAAAUGAACAAAUGUAUGAAAAUGAGGUAUUUGAUCUUCCAUACAACCAGGAUGUUGGUGACUAGUUACAGUUCAAGUUAUUUUAUGCUACAUUUAUAUAGUGUGAUCCAGGCCUAAUAUUCAGACAUUUUACAUCACUUGCAAUUAUAUUCUAGAAUAAUAAUAAUGCAGACACAAUGUUAUUCCUAUAGAACCAGGUGAUAAUAUAGGUGGUGAAGUAGAGAGGAGCAAGACUUAAUAAGCAUGUCAGUUUUUUCACUUGUUUCUACUUGUUAACUUUCUUAACUAGAGGAAUAAAAUUAAGCUAAUAUUAUGCUAUAUAAAUUGGGUUUCCCUAUUUACUGUAAAUGAUUGUCGAAUAUGGCAACAUACAAUUAUAGGCCGUCCAUUCUUUACGGUAUGAUGAAAAUAUAACAAAAUUAUAUCUUGAUGAACCCAAUAGCUAGUCAAGGAAAUUUGACUUGAAUGGCUACUUGAUCAAUGUGAACAACUAAAUCCUUAAUAGAUACUAGUCUGAUCAAUAGCUAAUGAAGUACUAAAUUUUGAAUGUUCAUCACAUACAUGUCUACAACCCCUUGUAAAUUCAUAUCAAUAUAAGAAAUACACUGUGACGCCCCCGAUUCAAUCAUACACUAAUCAUACACCUAAUCAUGUACAAUCAAGAUCAGGGACUCACGGGAAGAUAUCAUAGCACAACUCUACAAAUAAAAUAAGUCAUACAAGCAUCAUAUUACAAGCCAGGGGUGUCGAGGGCUCGAAUACAAGAGCUCGAUCAUAAACGAGUCAGCGGAAGCAACAAUAUCUGAGUACAGACAUAAGUUAAACAAGUUUGCCUUAAGAAGGCUAGCACAAACUGGGAUACAGAUCGAAAGAGGCGCAGGCCUCCUACGAGGGAUCCUCCUAAUCUAGUCCUGGUCGUCGUCAGCGGGCUGCACGUAGUAGUAGGCACCUCCCGAGUAGUAGUAGUCGUCAUCGACAGUGGCGUCUGGCUCCUGGGCUCCAUCGUCUGGUCGCAGCAAAAGGGUAUAGAAAAAGGGGAAAAGGGGGAUUUAAAUUAUUUUUAGGAUUUAUUUAAUUAUUUAAAUCAACAUUAUCGAGAAUAGUGCUUGCUGAUGUCAUCAUGAUGUCAGCAUGACAUCAGCAGUUGACCUGGUCAACCUGACAGGUGGGUCCCACCUAUCAGUGACCCAUUUUGAUUAGACACACUAGUCAUCAACCCAUGCCGCUGCACGGGCUAGAAAUUGUUGUCUUAAAAUUGAUGUGUAAUUCCUAUUUUUCCGGAUAUUUUUGUUCAAUAAGUAAGUCGGCAUCAUGUGUCCUAUAAUAGAAGAAGAGAAGUGUAGAGACAUUCUAAUAUUUUCUAUCGGUUGAACCUUUCUUGCGGAAAUGACAUAAUUAAUGUCCACCCUUGGAUCAGCAUUAUGCAUGCACACAUAAGAUUUAUACUUUUAAGCUAAGCCAAUUUAUUUAUUCUCAUAAUUACAUUAAGAACAUAGAAAUUUUGCUGACAGAUUUGGAUAAAAAGUAUAUGCUUAUAGUCAUGCAAAAAUGACCUUUUCACUUAAGACAUCCAACGAAUACAUUCCUCUCUUAGCAUGUUCAUGCCCUUUACUCUUUGUAGUGUGAGGAAAAAUUGAGAAUUUAUGAGCUAGUGACUACAUUAAUAUGGUGGUUAUGAAUCGUUUGUUCACUGUAACCUAAAGCGUAUAAGUAUGUAGGUUUAACAUCAGCCGACACUUGCCGUCUUACAUCCAAAUUAUUUUAUAUGAUUUCUUAAUCUGUUGUGCUACCGCGGUGUCUUUCUGUAAUUGUUACACAUACCAGGUCAAAGCUUAUAAAAAUUAUUGGUCAAUUAAAAUUUGAAAGCUGUUAGGGAAAAAAAUCAUGUUUGAUUUAUUUUAUCUUGGGGAGGUUUCUUUUCUUACUCCGGAUCAUUUAUUUGUACAUGUCUUUUUAAUUUAAUCUUUCUCAUGGGAACAUGCAUGUGGCUAAAAACAAUCAAGCAUAGAUUUUUUUUCUAAUCGCGGUGAUUUGGGAGAAUUUAUUUAUACUUUUUUAAUUUCCUUUUUCUGAAGGAAACUCCAACGUGGUUUUUAUUUUCAUGGUAUUUGGGACGUGGACUCUUUUUCUAGCGUCUGGCCUAAGGACUUUUCAUUUGUGUCUAUCUUUUUUUAUCACAUAUCUUUUUUUAUGAAUAUAGAAGGAAAAUGCAUUUUCUUUUCGACGGGACUUGAACUGGGCAUCUAGGGCUCAUUUUGGUGCGUGUGUGUGUAUCUAGGGUAUCUAGGGCUCAUUUAUGAAUUGCGAGGCCGCCUAAUUAAUGUUCACCAUUAAAAUUUAGAAUAGGUUUGUGAUUUUUUAACACUGUACGAACGCAUACGCUCAUACUUACGCUCAUACACUCAUCCGUCUGAACACACACAUACACACCCUAUCCCUUAUGAGCACCUUCUUGACUGAGCCG
RNAcentral lists this long non-coding RNA (40795 nucleotides) under Triticum aestivum (bread wheat). RNAcentral's name for it is "long non-coding RNA (TAES_LNC014117)". The record is from RNAcentral. Lineage: Eukaryota; Viridiplantae; Streptophyta; Magnoliopsida; Poales; Poaceae.